GAGUAGCAUCGUAGUGACCUGCGGAGGAUCAUUAUUGAAACUCAAAGGGGCUGUGGUGGUGGUCCUGCGCACCGGUGGCAACGCCGUUGUUGCGCGCCCCCCGCGCCUCAUCCACACUCAAACCCUUGUGCACCUUUGGGGGAAGGCGGGUUCGCGCCCGUCGGCCCCUUCAUUCACAGACUCUGUCUAUUAGAAUGUAACACGCGGCGAAAGCCGUUUGGAACUAUAAAACAACUUUCAACAACGGAUCUCUUGGCUCUCGCAUCGAUGAAGAACGCAGCGAAAUGCGAUAAGUAAUGUGAAUUGCAGAAUUCAGUGAAUCAUCGAAUCUUUGAACGCACCUUGCGCCCCUUGGUAUUCCGAGGGGCAUGCCUGUUUGAGUGUCUUGAAAUCAUCAAGCCGUCGGGUUCGUUCCCGCGUCUUGGACUUGGGGGCUCUUGCUGCCGUGAGGCGGCUCCCCUUAAAUCCAUCGGUCGGCUCCUGCUUGAGCGCGUCCUGGCGUUGUACACACCUCGCUGGAUAAGCUGCCCUUGUGGACCGGCCCCGACCUGCUGCAGAGUGGCGGUCACAUACUUUGAAAUCUGACCUCAAAUCAGGUAGGACUACCCGCUGAACUUAAGCAUAUCAAUAAGCGGAGGAAAAGAAACUAACAAGGAUUCCCCUAGUAACUGCGAGUGAAGCGGGAAGAGCUCAAAUUUGAAAUCUGGCGUCUCCGACGUCCGAGUUGUAAUCUGGAGAAGCGUUUUCCGUGCUGGACCGUGUACAAGUCUCCU
RNAcentral lists this ribosomal RNA (773 nucleotides) under uncultured fungus. RNAcentral's name for it is "eukaryotic LSU rRNA". The stretch from base 233 to 386 matches the Rfam family "5.8S ribosomal RNA". Lineage: Eukaryota; Fungi. The record is from RNAcentral.